AUUGAACGCUGGCGGCAUGCCUUACACAUGCAAGUCGAACGGUAACAGGUCUUCGGAUGCUGACGAGUGGCGAACGGGUGAGUAAUACAUCGGAACGUGCCUAGUAGUGGGGGAUAACUACUCGAAAGAGAGGCUAAUACCGCAUGAGAUCUACGGAUGAAGGCAGGGGAUCGCAAGACCUUGUGCUACUAGAGCGGCCGAUGGCAGAUUAGGUAGUUGGUGGGAUAAAAGCUUACCAAGCCGACGAUCUGUAGCUGGUCUGAGAGGACGAUCAGCCACACUGGGACUGAGACACGGCCCAGACUCCUACGGGAGGCAGCAGUGGGGAAUUUUGGACAAUGGGCGCAAGCCUGAUCCAGCAAUGCCGCGUGCAGGAUGAAGGCCUUCGGGUUGUAAACUGCUUUUGUACGGAACGAAAAGCCCUGGGUUAAUACCCUGGGGUCAUGACGGUACCGUAAGAAUAAGCACCGGCUAACGACGUGCCAGCCGCCGCCGUAA
This 498-nucleotide ribosomal RNA is filed under the name uncultured bacterium. Its description in RNAcentral is "partial 16S ribosomal RNA". It matches the Rfam family "Bacterial small subunit ribosomal RNA", at positions 30 to 523 of the family's 1533-position model. The record is from RNAcentral.